Molecule: ribosomal RNA, 461 nt
Filed under: uncultured bacterium
Lineage: Bacteria
Description: partial 16S ribosomal RNA
Rfam family: Bacterial small subunit ribosomal RNA
Source: RNAcentral
CCUACGGGGGGCAGCAGUAGGGAAUCUUUCACAAUGGGCGAAAGCCUGAUGGAGCAACGCCGCGUGCAGGAUGAAGGCCUUCGGGUUGUAAACUGCUUUUAGUUGGGAAUAAAAGGGGGCUCGUGAGCCCCGUAUUGUAUGUACCAUCAGAAAAAGGACCGGCUAAUUCCGUGCCAGCAGCCGCGGUAAUACGGAAGGUCCGGGCGUUAUCCGGAUUUAUUGGGUUUAAAGGGAGCGUAGGCCGGCUUUUAAGUCAGCUGUGAAAGUCCGCGGCUCAACCGUGGAAUUGCAGUUGAAAUUGGAGGCCUUGAGUGCACACAGGGAUGCCGGAAGUCAUGGUGUAGCGGUGAAAUGCUUAGAUAUCAUGAAGAACUCCGAUCGCGAAGGCAAGUGUCCGGGGUGCAACUGACGCUGAGGCUCGAAAGUGCGGGUAUCAAACAGGAUUAGAUACCCCAGUAGUC